GGGUGUGUGGUUCAAGUGCUAGAGUGUCUGCCUUGCAAGCAUAAGGCCCUAAGUUCAAACCUAGUACCACCA
This 72-nucleotide transfer RNA is filed under the name Dipodomys ordii (Ord's kangaroo rat). It matches the Rfam family "tRNA". Rfam says of the family: Transfer RNA (tRNA) molecules are approximately 80 nucleotides in length. Their secondary structure includes four short double-helical elements and three loops (D, anti-codon, and T loops). The record is from Rfam by way of RNAcentral. Lineage: Eukaryota; Metazoa; Chordata; Mammalia; Rodentia; Heteromyidae.